Molecule: ribosomal RNA, 209 nt
Filed under: Oxalobacteraceae bacterium MS13c1
Lineage: Bacteria; Pseudomonadati; Pseudomonadota; Betaproteobacteria; Burkholderiales; Oxalobacteraceae
Description: partial 16S ribosomal RNA
Rfam family: Bacterial small subunit ribosomal RNA
Source: RNAcentral
CUGUCUGAGAGGACGACCAGCCACACUGGAACUGAGACACGGUCCAGACUCCUACGGGAGGCAGCAGUGGGGAAUUUUGGACAAUGGGCGAAAGCCUGAUCCAGCAAUGCCGCGUGAGUGAAGAAGGCCUUCGGGUUGUAAAGCUCUUUUGUCAGGGAAGAAACGGUGAGAGCUAAUAUCUCUUGCUAAUGACGGUACCUGAAGAAUAA